RNAcentral lists this transfer RNA (76 nucleotides) under Bacteroidales bacterium. Its description in RNAcentral is "tRNA-Lys". It matches the Rfam family "tRNA". Rfam says of the family: Transfer RNA (tRNA) molecules are approximately 80 nucleotides in length. Their secondary structure includes four short double-helical elements and three loops (D, anti-codon, and T loops). RNAcentral also lists the same sequence under 1 other name. Lineage: Bacteria; Pseudomonadati; Bacteroidota; Bacteroidia; Bacteroidales. The record is from RNAcentral.
GUCCCAGUAGCUCAGCAGGUAGAGCACAUCCCUUUUAAGGAUGGGGUCCUGGGUUCGAAUCCCAGCUGAGACACCA